Small nucleolar RNA from Jaculus jaculus (lesser Egyptian jerboa), 133 nucleotides. RefSeq annotates it as small nucleolar RNA SNORA9. The transcript has a single exon. The record is from RefSeq and is a predicted model, not a curated record. NCBI's taxonomy places the organism in Eukaryota, Metazoa, Chordata, Mammalia, Rodentia, Dipodidae.
UAGCAAGCUCCGGCAUGCCUGGUGGCUCCGCAGUGACUGUGCUUUCCUACAGUGUUUGCCAGAACAGUUUUGGAAUAGUUUGAGGCUUUGCUCUGCUCUCUCCAGAACAAGGUUAUAGAAAUUUUAGACAAUU